RNAcentral lists this ribosomal RNA (319 nucleotides) under uncultured eukaryote. Its description in RNAcentral is "partial 18S ribosomal RNA". It matches the Rfam family "Eukaryotic small subunit ribosomal RNA", at positions 1470 to 1796 of the family's 1831-position model. The record is from RNAcentral.
CCCUUAGAUGUUCUGGGCCGCACGCGCGCUACAAUGGUCUUCGCAAACGGAUGCAUUCUCGAAGGAGAAUGCCAAUCUUGGAACCUAUGCCUUGGUCGGGACAGUUGCUUGCAAUUUUUCGACUCGAACCAGGAAUUCCUUGUAAUCGUGAUUCAUCACAUCACGAUGAAUACGUCCCUGCCCUUUGUACACACCGCCCGUCGCUCCUACCGAUCGAAGAGUUAGGUGAAUUGUUUUGAUCGAUAAGAUUUGACUAUGGUCAACUCUCGUUGUGAAAUUCUGUGAAUCUGACUGUUUAGAGGAAGGAAAAGUCGUAACA